AGCAGCCGCGGUAAUUCCAGCUCCAAUAGCGUAUAUUAAAGUUGUUGCAGUUAAAGCUCGUAGUUGAAUUUCGGAAUCAAUAUAUCGGUCGUGCCUUGGUACGUACUGGUAUCAUUGGUUUCUCCUUUCUGACGAACCAUGAUGUCAUUAAUUUGGUGUUAUGGGAAGUUAGGACUGUUACUUUGAAAAUUAGAGUGUUUAAAGCAGGCUUUAGCUUGAAUACAUUAGCAUGGAAUAAUGAAAUAGGACGUUCGAACCUAUUUUGUUGGUUUCUAGGAUCAACGUAAUGAUUAAUAGGGAUAGUUGGGGGCAUUAGUAUUCAAUUGUCAGAGGUGAAAUUCUUGGAUUUAUUGAAGACUAACUACUGCGAAAGCAUUUGCCAAGGAUGUUUUCAUUAAUCAAGAACGAAAGUUAGGGGAUCGAAGACGAUCAGAUACCGUCGUAGUCUUAACCAUAAACUAUGCCGACUAGGGAUCGGAUGAUGUUAAUUUUUUAAUGACUCA
This 503-nucleotide ribosomal RNA is filed under the name uncultured Glomeraceae. Its description in RNAcentral is "SSU rRNA". It matches the Rfam family "Eukaryotic small subunit ribosomal RNA", at positions 569 to 1078 of the family's 1831-position model. Lineage: Eukaryota; Fungi; Glomeromycota; Glomeromycetes; Glomerales; Glomeraceae. The record is from RNAcentral.